GGAUUAGAUACCCUGGUAGUCCACGCCCUAAACGAUGUCAACUAGCUGUUGGGGCCUUCGGGCCUUGGUAGCGCAGCUAACGCGUGAAGUUGACCGCCUGGGGAGUACGGUCGCAAGAUUAAAACUCAAAGGAAUUGACGGGGACCCGCACAAGCGGUGGAUGAUGUGGAUUAAUUCGAUGCAACGCGAAAAACCUUACCUACCCUUGACAUGUCUGGAAUCCUGAAGAGAUUUAGGAGUGCUCGCAAGAGAACCGGAACACAGGUGCUGCAUGGCUGUCGUCAGCUCGUGCCG
This 294-nucleotide ribosomal RNA is filed under the name uncultured bacterium. RNAcentral's name for it is "partial 16S ribosomal RNA". It matches the Rfam family "Bacterial small subunit ribosomal RNA", at positions 775 to 1067 of the family's 1533-position model. The record is from RNAcentral.